This 253-nucleotide ribosomal RNA is filed under the name uncultured bacterium. Its description in RNAcentral is "partial 16S ribosomal RNA". It matches the Rfam family "Bacterial small subunit ribosomal RNA", at positions 524 to 776 of the family's 1533-position model. The record is from RNAcentral.
UACGGAGGGGGCAAGCGUUAUUCGGAAUCAUUGGGCGUAAAGAGUUCGUAGGCGGGGCGCUCAGUCCGACGUGAAAGCCACCGGCUCAACCGGUGACGGCCGUUGGAUACUGGCGCUCUCGAGCCGGGCAGAGGUCGGCGGAAUUCCAGGUGUAGCGGUGGAAUGCUUAGAUAUCUGGAAGAACACCAGUGGCGAAGGCGGCCGACUGGGCCCGAGCUGACGCUGAGGAACGAAAGCCAGGGGAGCGAACGGG